CCCUUGAACCUCUCCCAUGCUUCACUGAAGCUCUCUAGACCUUUUUGUUGAAACCCGGAGAUUUCGUUCC
This 70-nucleotide small nucleolar RNA is filed under the name Brassica oleracea var. oleracea. RNAcentral describes it as "Plant small nucleolar RNA R71". It matches the Rfam family "Plant small nucleolar RNA R71", at positions 31 to 100 of the family's 107-position model. Rfam says of the family: R71 is a member of the C/D box family of snoRNAs containing the C (UGAUGA) and D (CUGA) box motifs. Lineage: Eukaryota; Viridiplantae; Streptophyta; Magnoliopsida; Brassicales; Brassicaceae. The record is from Rfam by way of RNAcentral.